Molecule: ribosomal RNA, 253 nt
Filed under: uncultured bacterium
Lineage: Bacteria
Description: partial 16S ribosomal RNA
Rfam family: Bacterial small subunit ribosomal RNA
Source: RNAcentral
UACGUAGGUGGCAAGCGUUGUCCGGAUUUACUGGGCGUAAAGCGUGCGCAGGCGGUGAUGUAAGACAGUUGUGAAAUCCCCGGGCUCAACCUGGGAAUUGCAUCUGUGACUGCAUCGCUAGAGUACGGUAGAGGGGGAUGGAAUUCCGCGUGUAGCAGUGAAAUGCGUAGAUAUGCGGAGGAACACCGAUGGCGAAGGCAAUCCCCUGGACCUGUACUGACGCUCAUGCACGAAAGCGUGGGGAGCAAACAGG